This 254-nucleotide ribosomal RNA is filed under the name uncultured bacterium. RNAcentral's name for it is "partial 16S ribosomal RNA". It matches the Rfam family "Bacterial small subunit ribosomal RNA", at positions 524 to 776 of the family's 1533-position model. The record is from RNAcentral.
GACAGAGGAUGCAAGCGUUAUCCGGAAUGAUUGGGCGUAAAGCGUCUGUAGGUGGCUUUUUAAGUCCACCGUUAAAUCCCAGGGCUCAACCCUGGACAAGCGGUGGAAACUACCAAGCUAGAGUACGGUAGAGGCAGAGGGAAUUUCCGGUGGAGCGGUGAAAUGCGUUGAGAUCGGGAAGAACACCAACAGGCGAAAGCACUCUGCUGGGCCGUCACUGACACUCAGAGACGAAAGCUAGGGGAGCGAAUGGG